GGAAAAAAUGUAUUAUUUAACUUCAAUGCUAUUGGAUUUUUCUUUUAUGUUGGAUAUAGAAAUAGGACAGAUGAACAGAGUGGGACGAGAAAAUUCCUUCAAGAAUCACAGUUGUUGUGGGUCCCAAGAAGCCUUUUCUGCUGAAUUCCCUCCUGCAAUCGUGGUUGAAAGGAGCUGGAGGCAUCUGGUGUACCAUCUUCCUGCUUCGUAGACUGUAAAUCAUCUGGAAAAUGAUGGCUUUCGCGGGGCUACUCAUAUUUGGUGAGAUUGCCUCCACCCAGAGGGUCCUUUCCUGUGUGUUUUUCCUGCAACUUGUUUCCUGCCUGGACGUCCGUCCACUGCUUGCCAGGUCAGUACCCGGAAAAGUCAGCAUGAAAGGCAAUGCCAAAGGGCAACUGGCUGAAAUGAGAUCCCUGCAUGGGUGCAAGGCAAAGCAAGCCUUCCUGAGCACCAGGGGACCUGCCUGAACUCACCGCAGAUGGACGUACAAGUGCUAAUCAUAAGGCCACCGCAAGUCAUGUUAGGUAAGGAGACAAGCGUUCUAAAGGAAAGGAAUUAAGGUCACACCAUUCCUCUACUGACACUAAUGGAUCUUAAAGGUUCAGAUGUAGAGAGACAGAGAUAAGAGUUUUAGAAAACAUUAAUAUUUACCAUCUACAUUCCAUAUUAGCACCUGUAGGGCAGAAUUUUGUGUAAAAAAUGGCUACAUGUCAAUCUAGUAAGUAUCCAUUUACUGAAAUAAAUUCUACCAUGGAAAGACCUAAGAAAAAACAAAAGCCUAAUAAAUUAAUCAAAAUGAUAUCAACAUAAUUGAACAGAACCCACUGAAUAAGUAGCACAGAAAUGUCUAUUU
Molecule: long non-coding RNA, 853 nt
Organism: Macaca fascicularis (crab-eating macaque)
Lineage: Eukaryota; Metazoa; Chordata; Mammalia; Primates; Cercopithecidae
Source: Ensembl